GAUGAACGCUGGCGGCGUGCCUAAUACAUGCGAGUCGAACGAAACUUCUUUAUCACCGAGUGCUUGCACUCACCGAUAAAGAGUUGAGUGGCGAACGGGUGAGUAACACGUGGGCAGCCUGCCCAAAAGAGGGGGAUAACACUUGGAAACAGGUGCUAAUACCGCAUAACCAUAGUUACCGCAUGGUAACUAUGUAAAAGGUGGCUAUACUACCGCUUUUGGAUGGGCCCGCGGCGCAUUAGCUAGUUGGUAGGGUAAAGGCUUACCAAGGCAAUGAUGCGUAGCCGAAUUGAGAGGUUGAUCGGCCACAUUGGGACUGAGACACGGCCCAAACUCCUACGGGAGGCAGCAGUAGGGAAUCUUCCACAAUGGGCGAAAGCCUGAUGGAGCAACGCCGCGUGGGUGAAGAAGGUCUUCGGAUCGUAAAACCCUGUUGUUAGAGAAGAAAGUGCGUGAGAGUAACUGUUCACGUUUCGACGGUAUCUAACCAGAAAGCCACGGCUAACUACGUG
RNAcentral lists this ribosomal RNA (512 nucleotides) under uncultured bacterium. Its description in RNAcentral is "partial 16S ribosomal RNA". It matches the Rfam family "Bacterial small subunit ribosomal RNA", at positions 28 to 507 of the family's 1533-position model. The record is from RNAcentral.